AAUAAAGUUCAUGUAUGGCAA
This 21-nucleotide microRNA is filed under the name Homo sapiens (human). RNAcentral's name for it is "hsa-miR-5590-3p". The record is from miRBase by way of RNAcentral. Lineage: Eukaryota; Metazoa; Chordata; Mammalia; Primates; Hominidae.